GACACACGGCGGGUGCUAACGUCCGUCGUGAAGAGGGAAACAACCCAGACCGCCAGCUAAGGUCCCAAAGUCAUGGUUAAGUGGGAAACGAUGUGGGAAGGCCCAGACAGCCAGGAUGUUGGCUUAGAAGCAGCCAUCAUUUAAAGAAAGCGUAAUAGCUCACUGGUCGAGUCGGCCUGCGCGGAAGAUGUAACGGGGCUAAACCAUGCACCGAAGCUGCGGCAGCGACACUCAGGUGUUGUUGGGUAGGGGAGCGUUCUGUAAGCCUGCGAAGGUGGCCUGUGAGGGUUGCUGGAGGUAUCAGAAGUGCGAAUGCUGACAUAAGUAACGAUAAAGCGGGUGAAAAGCCCGCUCGCCGGAAGACCAAGGGUUCCUGUCCAACGUUAAUCGGGGCAGGGUGAGUCGACCCCUAAGGCGAGGCCGAAAGGCGUAGUCGAUGGGAAACGGGUUAAUAUUCCCGUACUUGGUGUUACUGCGAAGGGGGGACGGAGAAGGCUAUGUUGGCCGGGCGACGGUUGUCCCGGUUUAAGCGUGUAGGUGUGUGUUCCAGGUAAAUCCGGUUCACUUUAACACUGAGGCGUGAUGACGAGGCACUACGGUGCUGAAGCAACAAAUGCCCUGCUUCCAGGAAAAGCCUCUAAGCAUCAGGUAACAUCAAAUCGUACCCCAAACCGACACAGGUGGUCAGGUAGAGAAUACCAAGGCGCUUGAGAGAACUCGGGUGAAGGAACUAGGCAAAAUGGUGCCGUAACUUCGGGAGAAGGCACGCUGACACGUAGGUGAAGUGAUUUACUCAUGGAGCUGAAGUCAGUCGAAGAUACCAGCUGGCUGCAACUGUUUAUUAAAAACACAGCACUGUGCAAACACGAAAGUGGACGUAUACGGUGUGACGCCUGCCCGGUGCCGGAAGGUUAAUUGAUGGGGUCAGCGCAAGCGAAGCUCCUGAUCGAAGCCCCGGUAAACGGCGGCCGUAACUAUAACGGUCCUAAGGUAGCGAAAUUCCUUGUCGGGUAAGUUCCGACCUGCACGAAUGGCGUAAUGAUGGCCAGGCUGUCUCCACCCGAGACUCAGUGAAAUUGAACUCGCUGUGAAGAUGCAGUGUACCCGCGGCAAGACGGAAAGACCCCGUGAACCUUUACUAUAGCUUGACACUGAACAUUGAGCCUUGAUGUGUAGGAUAGGUGGGAGGCUUUGAAGUGUGGACGCCAGUCUGCAUGGAGCCGGCCUUGAAAUACCACCCUUUAAUGUUUGAUGUUCUAACGUGGACCCGUGAUCCGGGUUGCGGACAGUGUCUGGUGGGUAGUUUGACUGGGGCGGUCUCCUCCUAAAGAGUAACGGAGGAGCACGAAGGUUGGCUAAUCCUGGUCGGACAUCAGGAGGUUAGUGCAAUGGCAUAAGCCAGCUUGACUGCGAGCGUGACGGCGCGAGCAGGUGCGAAAGCAGGUCAUAGUGAUCCGGUGGUUCUGAAUGGAAGGGCCAUCGCUCAACGGAUAAAAGGUACUCCGGGGAUAACAGGCUGAUACCGCCCAAGAGUUCAUAUCGACGGCGGUGUUUGGCACCUCGAUGUCGGCUCAUCACAUCCUGGGGCUGAAGUAGGUCCCAAGGGUAUGGCUGUUCGCCAUUUAAAGUGGUACGCGAGCUGGGUUUAGAACGUCGUGAGACAGUUCGGUCCCUAUCUGCCGUGGGCGCUGGAGAACUGAGGGGGGCUGCUCCUAGUACGAGAGGACCGGAGUGGACGCAUCACUGGUGUUCGGGUUGUCAUGCCAAUGGCACUGCCCGGUAGCUAAAUGCGGAAGAGAUAAGUGCUGAAAGCAUCUAAGCACGAAACUUGCCCCGAGAUGAGUUCUCCCUGAGACUUUAGGUCUCCUGAAGGAACGUUGAAGACGACGACGUUGAUAGGCCGGGUGUGUAAGCGCAGCGAUGCGUUGAGCUAACCGGUACUAAUGAACCGUGAGGCUUAACCUUACA
RNAcentral lists this ribosomal RNA (1968 nucleotides) under Salmonella enterica. Its description in RNAcentral is "partial 23S ribosomal RNA". It matches the Rfam family "Bacterial large subunit ribosomal RNA", at positions 983 to 2925 of the family's 2925-position model. The record is from RNAcentral. Lineage: Bacteria; Pseudomonadati; Pseudomonadota; Gammaproteobacteria; Enterobacterales; Enterobacteriaceae.